Molecule: ribosomal RNA, 485 nt
Filed under: Escherichia coli
Lineage: Bacteria; Pseudomonadati; Pseudomonadota; Gammaproteobacteria; Enterobacterales; Enterobacteriaceae
Description: partial 23S ribosomal RNA
Rfam family: Bacterial large subunit ribosomal RNA
Source: RNAcentral
GGGACACGUGGUAUCCUGUCUGAAUAUGGGGGGACCAUCCUCCAAGGCUAAAUACUCCUGACUGACCGAUAGUGAACCAGUACCGUGAGGGAAAGGCGAAAAGAACCCCGGCGAGGGGAGUGAAAAAGAACCUGAAACCGUGUACGUACAAGCAGUGGGAGCACGCUUAGGCGUGUGACUGCGUACCUUUUGUAUAAUGGGUCAGCGACUUAUAUUCUGUAGCAAGGUUAACCGAAUAGGGGAGCCGAAGGGAAACCGAGUCUUAACUGGGCGUUAAGUUGCAGGGUAUAGACCCGAAACCCGGUGAUCUAGCCAUGGGCAGGUUGAAGGUUGGGUAACACUAACUGGAGGACCGAACCGACUAAUGUUGAAAAAUUAGCGGAUGACUUGUGGCUGGGGGUGAAAGGCCAAUCAAACCGGGAGAUAGCUGGUUCUCCCCGAAAGCUAUUUAGGUAGCGCCUCGUGAAUUCAUCUCCGGGGGUAGA